RNAcentral lists this ribosomal RNA (444 nucleotides) under uncultured Syntrophomonas sp. RNAcentral's name for it is "bacterial SSU rRNA". It matches the Rfam family "Bacterial small subunit ribosomal RNA", at positions 938 to 1382 of the family's 1533-position model. Lineage: Bacteria; Bacillati; Bacillota; Clostridia; Eubacteriales; Syntrophomonadaceae. The record is from RNAcentral.
CAUGUGGUUAAUUCGAUGCAACGCGAAGAACCUUACCAGGUCUUGACAUCCCACGAAUUCAUCUGAAAGGAUGGAGUGCCUUCGGGAGCGUGGAGACAGGUGGUGCAUGGUUGUCGUCAGCUCGUGUCGUGAGAUGUUGGGUUAAGUCCCGCAACGAGCGCAACCCUUGCUAUUAGUUGCUAACAGGUAGAGCUGAGCACUCUAAUGGGACUGCCGGUGACAAGCCGGAGGAAGGUGGGGAUGACGUCAAAUCAUCAUGCCCUUUAUGACCUGGGCUACACACGUGCUACAAUGGAUGGUACAGAGAGCAGCGAGGCAGCGAUGUGGAGCGAAUCUCAAAAAGCCAUUCUCAGUUCGGAUUGGAGUCUGCAACUCGACUCCAUGAAGUCGGAAUCGCUAGUAAUCGCGGAUCAGCACGCCGCGGUGAAUACGUUCCCGGGCCUU